ACGUACACUCCUGCGGGAGGCAGCAGUGGGGAAUAUUGCACAAUGGGCGCAAGCCUGAUGCAGCCAUGCCGCGUGUAUGAAGAAGGCCUUCGGGUUGUAAAGUACUUUCAGCGGGGAGGAAGGCGAUAAGGUUAAUAACCUUGUCGAUUGACGUUACCCGCAGAAGAAGCACCGGCUAACUCCGUGCCAGCAGCCGCGGUAAUACGGAGGGUGCAAGCGUUAAUCGGAAUUACUGGGCGUAAAGCGCACGCAGGCGGUCUGUCAAGUCGGAUGUGAAAUCCCCGGGCUCAACCUGGGAACUGCAUUGGAAACUGGCAGGCUAGAGUCUUGUAGAGGGGGGUAGAAUUCCAGGUGUAGCGGUGAAAUGCGUAGAGAUCUGGAGGAAUACCGGUGGCGAAGGCGGCCCCCUGGACAAAGACUGACGCUCAUGUGCGAAAGCGUGGGGAGCAAACAGGAUUAGAAACCCGAGUAGUCCCA
Molecule: ribosomal RNA, 477 nt
Filed under: uncultured organism
Description: partial 16S ribosomal RNA
Rfam family: Bacterial small subunit ribosomal RNA
Source: RNAcentral